This 141-nucleotide unclassified non-coding RNA is filed under the name soil metagenome. RNAcentral describes it as "partial internal transcribed spacer 1". The record is from RNAcentral.
UCAAAACAGCGGACUUCGGUCCUUGCUGCACCCUUGUCUUUUGCGCACCGUAUUGUUUCCUCGGCGGGCUUGCCUGCCGGUUGGACAUUAUCAAAACCUUUUUGUAGUUUGCAAUCAGCGUCAGAAAAACAAUAAUUAUUA